Molecule: ribosomal RNA, 485 nt
Filed under: uncultured bacterium
Lineage: Bacteria
Description: partial 16S ribosomal RNA
Rfam family: Bacterial small subunit ribosomal RNA
Source: RNAcentral
AUUGAACGCUGGCGGCAUGCCUUACACAUGCAAGUCGAACGGCAGCACGGGUGCUUGCACCUGGUGGCGAGUGGCGAACGGGUGAGUAAUACAUCGGAACAUGUCCUGUAGUGGGGGAUAGCCCGGCGAAAGCCGGAUUAAUACCGCAUACGAUCCACGGAUGAAAGCGGGGGACCUUCGGGCCUCGCGCUAUAGGGUUGGCCGAUGGCUGAUUAGCUAGUUGGUGGGGUAAAGGCCUACCAAGGCGACGAUCAGUAGCUGGUCUGAGAGGACGACCAGCCACCUGGGGAAUGGACAAGGGCCCAAGCUCCUACGGGAGGGAGACGGGGGGAAUUUGGGAAAAUGGGGGAAAGCCUUAUCCAGCAAUGCCGGGUGGGGGAAAAAGGCCUUGGGGUUGUAAAGGAUUUUUGUCCGGAAAGAAAUCCUUGACUCUAAUACAGUCGGGGGAUGACGGUCCCGGAAGAAUAAGCACCGGCUAACUACGU